GAACGCGUGGAGCAAUCCACGAGUGGCGGACGGGUGAGUAACGCGUGGGAACCUGCCCUGGAGUGCGGAAUAACCGAGGGAAACUUCGGCUAAUACCGCAUACGACCUAUGGGUGAAAGAUUUAUCGCUCUAGGAGGGGCCCGCGUCGGAUUAGCUAGUUGGUGGGGUAACGGCCUACCAAGGCUAUGAUCCGUAGCUGGUCUGAGAGGAUGAUCAGCCACACUGGGACUGAGACACGGCCCAGACUCCUACGGGAGGCAGCAGUAGGGAAUAUUGGACAAUGGGCGCAAGCCUGAUCCAGCCAUGCCGCGUGGGUGAUGAAGGCCCUAGGGUUGUAAAGCCCUUUCGGCGGGGAAGAUAAUGACGGUACCCGCAGAAGAAGCCCCGGCUAACUUCGUG
Molecule: ribosomal RNA, 399 nt
Filed under: uncultured bacterium
Lineage: Bacteria
Description: bacterial SSU rRNA
Rfam family: Bacterial small subunit ribosomal RNA
Source: RNAcentral